GACGAACGCUGGCGGCGUGCUUAACACAUGCAAGUCGAACGGAAAGGCCCUGCUUUUGUGGGGUGCUCGUGUGGCGAACGGGUGAGUAACACGUGAGUAACCUGCCCUUGACUUUGGGAUAACUUUAGGAAACUGGGGCUCAUACCCGAUAGGAGCUCCUGCUGCAUGGUGGGGGUAGGAAAGUGUCGGUGGUUGGGGAUGGACUCGCGGGUCAUCAGCUUGUUGGUGGGGUAGUGGCUUACCAAGGCUUUGAGGGGUAGCCGGCCUGGGAGGGUGACCGGCCACAAUGGUACUGAGGUACGGCGCAGACUCCUACGGGCGGCAGCAGUGGGGAAUAUUGCACAACGGGCGGGAGCGUGAUGCAGCAACGCCGCGUGCGGGAUAACGGCCUACGGGUGGUAAACCGCUUUCGCCUGUGACGAAGCGUGAGUGACGGUAAUGAAUAAAGAAGCACCGGCUAACUACGUG
Molecule: ribosomal RNA, 468 nt
Filed under: uncultured bacterium
Lineage: Bacteria
Description: partial 16S ribosomal RNA
Rfam family: Bacterial small subunit ribosomal RNA
Source: RNAcentral